UGUGGCUUCAUUUCAAUAGCUGUGGUAGAGAUGAUACUAAAGAGUAGGAUGUGUUGACAAGGAGGGAGGAAAGAGCUGAGACUUGGGGCUCCUGGUGACAAGAUGAGCUCUUAGUGUGUGACACCUGUGAGGGCAGGUAGAGCAGGUGAUGAGGAAGUCCUGGGAUAGUCCUGGGUGUGGGCAGCCAGAGUGGAUGGAGAUCAAGUCAAGGAAGUAAGGGAGACUCUGGAUGGAUGGACAACUUCCUCUAGAGAUGGCGGGAAUUGAGAUGGUAGGACUGUACAGUGGCAGCACUGAGAUGGGAAAUAAAGUGACAGAAAGCACAUGUCUCAGCAGAGAGUUUUUCUGGGUAGCAGAGCCGAGUUUGCCAGGAGUAUUGAGCCAGGCAUCUUGAGCUGCUGCUCCCUGGGGAAUUGGGUAGUAGAUGGGGGGCGUGGUCUCAGCAGCACUUGCCCUUGGGGAACCGAGCCUCAAGACGUGGGCCUCAGUGGCCAGCUGCUGGCGGGUUCAGGAAGGCCAGCUCUGGGACAUCCACCAUCAGCCCCUGGUUCCCUCUCUUCCCACCUCUGCUGCAGCUCAGUAUGUCCAGUUUCUCCAGGAUUGCUGUAAGUUCUACUGUCGGUGCUUGCAUUACUUUUCUGAUGUCAAGAAGUGUUCGGAGGGGGCUGAGCAGUUCUGUGCAUCCCAAGGAGCUCACCUGGCAUCGGUGUCCUCUGAGGAAGAGCAGGUUUUUGAGCAAGGAGCAGCUGGACAACUGGCAGCACAGGAACGGGCCCACGGAGGACUGUGUCCAUACUCAGCAGAUGUGCAGUGA
Molecule: long non-coding RNA, 814 nt
Filed under: Dasypus novemcinctus (nine-banded armadillo)
Lineage: Eukaryota; Metazoa; Chordata; Mammalia; Cingulata; Dasypodidae
Description: lncRNA (ENSDNOG00000052601.1)
Source: RNAcentral